GGGGACUGGGUAAGGCAAGAGAAUCCCUGGAUUCCAGGCUCAGCUCAGUUCAAGGGGACCCUUGUCCUUGGCAGGGCUCUCCAAAAUUCCUG
This is a non-coding RNA of Ceratotherium simum simum (southern white rhinoceros), 92 nucleotides long. NCBI's taxonomy places the organism in Eukaryota, Metazoa, Chordata, Mammalia, Perissodactyla, Rhinocerotidae. The record is from RefSeq and is a predicted model, not a curated record.